UGGGGAAUAUUGGACAAUGGGCGAAAGCCUGAUCCAGCCAUGCCGCGUGUGUGAAGAAGGUCUUCGGAUUGUAAAGCACUUUAAGUUGGGAGGAAGGGCAGUAAGCGAAUACCCUGCUGUUUUGACGUUACCGACAGAAUAAGCACCGGCUAACUCUGUGCCAGCAGCCGCGGUAAUACAGAGUGUGCAAGCGUUAAUCGGAAUUACUGGGCGUAAAGCGCGCGUAGGUGGUUCGUUAAGUUGAAUGUGAAAGCCCCGGGCUCAACCUGGGAACUGCAUCCAAAACUGGCGAGCUAGAGUAGGGCAGAGGGUGGUGGAAUUUCCUGUGUAGCGGUGAAAUGCGUAGAUAUAGGAAGGAACACCAGUGGCGAAGGCGACCACCUGGGCUCAUACUGACACUGAGAUGCGAAAGCGUGGGGAGCAAACAGG
This 429-nucleotide ribosomal RNA is filed under the name Pseudomonadota bacterium. RNAcentral describes it as "Proteobacteria bacterium partial 16S ribosomal RNA". It matches the Rfam family "Bacterial small subunit ribosomal RNA", at positions 355 to 776 of the family's 1533-position model. Lineage: Bacteria; Pseudomonadati; Pseudomonadota. The record is from RNAcentral.